GGCAAACCCUCUUUUCUGAUCCAUCCCGCCACCAUGUGACUUACUUUCAACAAUGAGCAGCUCUCCAUCUCGGCAAGAGGGGCAGGAAUUUCAGAAAAGUCUGCCCAGCGACAGGUCUACACCCCCCAUGAAACGGGAGCAACUGGGAGGGACUGGGAGACAAGUCGGGAUAGAGGCAAAGAUCAAUGGAGCGAAGUAAAGAGAUCCUUGUGAAAACCUGCACCAGAGCACUCAGGACCUCAGACGGGGGCAAAGGUUAAUCUUUUAACACGGCAAUGACCCUAAGAACGCAGCCACUCCUGCGUUGUCUUGGCUUCGGGACAAGUCUCAGAAUGUUCUUGAGUGGCCCAGCCAGAGGCCGGACUUGAACCUGAUCAAACAUCUCUGGAGAGAUCUGAAAACUAGUUUUGCAGCGAAGCUCCACAUCCAACCUGACAGAGGUUGAAAGUAUCUGCAGAGAAGAAUGGGAGAAACUGCCCAAAUACAGGUGUGCCAAAAAUGUAGUGUUAUACCCAAGAAGACUUGAGGCUGUAGUUGCUGUCAAAUGUACUAACAAAGUUGAGUAAAGGGUCUAAAUAUUUACAUUUAAAAUAGUUUAGUACAUUUGCUACAUUUUCUGAACCUGUUUUUGCUUUGUCAUUAUGGGAUAGUGUGUUUAGAUUGAAGUGCGGAAACAAUUUAAUACAUUUUAGGAUAAGACUGUAAAGUAAACAUUUUGAAAAAGUCAAGGAGUCUGUAAACUUUCCAAAUGCAAUGCAUGUUCAGAGUAAUUUCCAAUGGCAUUGUACUUGAUCAGGCAAAAAGAGAUUACAAGACGUGCAGCAUGAUUGAUUAAUUUUGAUAGCAAAAAAACACCAAAACCGGUUUGCCCUGCUAAAAACUGCCAACGGGUCUGCCCUGCUUAAUAAAAAUAGCCUAAUUUACAAUGCUGACUAGAUAAGAGUAAACAGAGGUCGUAUCUAGUAAUUCAUCAAUGGAAUAAUUGUCAGAGUAGAGGACCUUGGUGUUGUGCCGAAAAUCACCCCCCGUGCCAGAAUUAUCCCCCCUCUAAUUUCCUGGCACACAGUCAAGCACAUUCUAUAGAACAAGCUUCGUCAGGAUAGGUAACCGAAAUUAAUAAUUAACGUGUGUGUUUAAUACACAUUUCAGAACUACUAUAGCUGAAUUUUUAUCCUUACACUUUCAAAAAUACUAGUCGAUUAAGAACUGGGAGAGAUGACGAAUUUUGGCAGAGACUUAUUUAUAGAUUAAUACAAAAAUCAGUGUUGGAUUUAUGUACGGGCGACAUGGGCAGCGGCACCGGGCGCCCCCGGUUGCGCGGAGUGGUACAGACAAGCUAGAACCGCCACAUACACUUGAAACAAUUGGCCAAACCGACAAAAACGCUUUCUAAGAUCAGUGAAAUGUAGGCUAAACGGACAACGGAGUGAACAGCAGAAAUCUCAACGAACAAGCAAGUCACAGCAAUGAAGAACUCGCAAGAGUGGGGGGUUAUGACGGGGUGGGGGGAGAUUUUCGGCACAACAACAGGCGUAAAGAACUUUAGUCAACGGACAUUGCUGAUCUCCAGCUCCAUGGACACCCCUACAACACAUUCCAGUACUUUCCCCAAUACUACAGUGGUUCCUCCUUCAAAAGUUGUGAUCUUAUACCGCGGGACACAGAGGUACCCAGCGUCACCAAGUUAAAGCUUGGUUGCAAAUAGGUCUUCUAAAUGGACAAUGACCCCAAGCAUACUUCCAAAGUUGUGGAAAAAUGGCUUAAGGACAACAAAGUCAAGGUAUUAGAGUGGCCAUCACAAAGAUCUGACCUCAAUCCCAUGGAAGAUGUGUGGGCAGAACUGAAAAAGCGUGUGAGAGCAAGGAGGCCUUACAAACCUGACUCAGGUACACCAGCUCUGUCAGGAGGAAUGGGCCAAAAUUCACCCAACUUAUUGUGGGACGCUUGUGGAAGGCUACCCGAAACAUUUGACCCAAGUUAAAUAAUUGAAAGGCAAUGUUGCCAAAUACUAAUUGAGUGUAUGUAAACCUCUGAUCCACUUGGAAUGUGAUGAAAGAAAUAAAAGCUGAAAUAAAUCACUCUAUUAUUAUUCUGACAUUUCACAUUCUUAAAAUAAAGUGGUGAUCCUAACUAACCUAAGAAAGGGAAUUUUUACUAGGAUUAAGUGUCAUGAAUUGUGAAAAACUGAGUUUAAAUGUAUUUGGCUACGGUGUAUGUAAACUUCAGACUUCAACUGUACAUGUACUGUAGUUAUUACCACUGUUUGAUUCUGGGUUAAACGUUGAACAUUGCUAUACUAGAGACAUGAUAGACCAGAAGUAAUACUAUAGUAUCUGAGGGGCGAUAGAGAAUGGUUGUUACAUCAGAAGUUAAUAGUUAUCUGUAGGAGACAGAUGGCUUUGGAAUGUGCUGGGUGGACGGGAGGAAGUCCCAGGAGUGCAAAAGGUGAUAUGGGUGGAGAGCUUUGGAAUAGACAUCAAGGGUGGUUGAGGUCAGGUCAGCUUAAGACAGAACAGUUUAUUACUCUCACUUAUUCUUCCUGUAAGACCAUAACAUAUGUAAGGAUUGGAGAUGAGGAGUGUCUAAAUUGGAGUAUAUAUACUUGUGGUGGUGGAAACAUAUGUUAUCUGAAUCCAGCUGUAUCAAUCCUUUGGGUAGAAUUAAACUUGGUUAAGCUUUUCUAGUGUCCGUUGAGUCAUUUACUCUGAAAAUUAGAACCUAACACCACGCAUGAGAUCCCCACAUUGUAGCCUGUACAUUGAAUAUAUUCACUGAUCAUGUACUCUUCCUUGGCAAAUAAAGGUGCGAAUCAGGUAUGUAUCUCUGACUGAAAAAUAAUGUCUCACAUAUCCAAUACCAGGUGUAUCAAACUCCAUUAUUUGAAUGAUGCUGUGUCUGCAUUACAAUUAUACACUUCAGUGUUUACCACUCCUGCUCCAUCAAUGAUUGCACAUUGUAACUAUGCAAUAUACUAGAAACAUGAUUUAAGUAAAGGAUGAUUUGUAAUUCAUAUAUACAGAAAAUAACUGCAAAACACUACACUUCCUAUGCAUAUCUAAUAGGUUUAGGUGUAGUAUUUCAAUGACAUACUUAAUUUCAACCAGUGGAGAAUGUGAAAUGCUUAAUUGAA
Long non-coding RNA from Oncorhynchus keta (chum salmon), 3130 nucleotides. RefSeq lists it as uncharacterized. Lineage: Eukaryota; Metazoa; Chordata; Actinopteri; Salmoniformes; Salmonidae. The record is from RefSeq and is a predicted model, not a curated record. The transcript is spliced from 3 exons.